This 524-nucleotide ribosomal RNA is filed under the name uncultured bacterium. RNAcentral's name for it is "partial 16S ribosomal RNA". It matches the Rfam family "Bacterial small subunit ribosomal RNA", at positions 28 to 523 of the family's 1533-position model. The record is from RNAcentral.
GACGAACGCUGGCGGCGUGCCUAAUACAUGCAAGUCGAACGAAGCUGUUUUAACUGGUGCUUGCACCGACUUAAACAACUGAGUGGCGAACGGGUGAGUAACACGUGGGUAACCUGCCCCAAAGCGGGGGAUAACAUUUGGAAACAGAUGCUAAUACCGCAUAACCACAGAAACCACGUGGUUUCUGUGUCAAAGAUGGUUUCGGCUAUCACUUUGGGAUGGACCGGCGGCGUAUUAGCUAGUUGGUAAGGUAAUGGCUUACCAAGGAAAUGAUACGUAGCCGAACUGAGAGGUUGAUCGGCCACAUUGGGACUGAGACACGGCCCAAACUCCUACGGGAGGCAGCAGUAGGGAAUCUUCCACAAUGGACGAAAGUCUGAUGGAGCAACGCCGCGUGAGUGAAGAAGGUUUUCGGAUCGUAAAACUCUGUUGUCAGAGAAGAACGUGUGCGAGAGUAACUGCUCGUGCAGUGACGGUAUCUGGCCAGAAAGCCACGGCUAACUACGUGCCAGCAGCCGCCGUAA